UACGUAGGGCGCAAGCGUUAUCCGGAAUUAUUGGGCGUAAAGAGCUCGUAGGCGGUUUGUCGCGUCUGCCGUGAAAGCCCCGGGCUCAACCUGGGAAUGGCAUUGGAAACUGGCUGGCUGGAGUGUGGCAGAGGGGGGUGGAAUUCCACGUGUAGCAGUGAAAUGCGUAGAGAUGUGGAGGAACACCGAUGGCGAAGGCAGCCCCCUGGGCCAACACUGACGCUCAGGCACGAAAGCGUGGGGAGCAAACAGG
Molecule: ribosomal RNA, 253 nt
Filed under: uncultured bacterium
Lineage: Bacteria
Description: partial 16S ribosomal RNA
Rfam family: Bacterial small subunit ribosomal RNA
Source: RNAcentral